Molecule: unclassified non-coding RNA, 425 nt
Filed under: soil metagenome
Description: partial contains 5.8S ribosomal RNA, internal transcribed spacer 2, and large subunit ribosomal RNA
Rfam family: 5.8S ribosomal RNA (bases 1-120)
Source: RNAcentral
GAUGAAGAACGCAGCGAAAUGCGAUAAGUAGUGUGAAUUGCAGAAUUCCGUGAAUCAUCGAAUCUUUGAACGCACAUUGCGCCUUCUGGUAUUCCGGAAGGCAUGCCUGUUCGAGAGUCAUUAACAACCGUUUCGAUCCCUUUCUUUCAGAAAUUACAAAGAGGAAAAGGGUUUGGUUAUGGUGGAGGAGGGAAAGGGAGCGUUUAGCCUGUAAAAAAAGAGGCUGUGUUCCGCCUCCCCCCCAAAAUUGUACAGGCGGUCGUGUGCGCCCACGCAUCGAGGUGUUGUAAAAGCUGCCACGGCACUUUUCACCUGUGCAGUGCGAGAUUGGCCAGCCGGUUUAAAAACCCCUCCAAACAAUCAAAGGUUGACCUCGGAUCAGGUAGGGAUACCCGCUGAACUUAAGCAUAUCGAUAAGCGGAGGA